This 226-nucleotide long non-coding RNA is filed under the name Solanum tuberosum (potato). RNAcentral's name for it is "long non-coding RNA (STUB_LNC003717)". The record is from RNAcentral. Lineage: Eukaryota; Viridiplantae; Streptophyta; Magnoliopsida; Solanales; Solanaceae.
CAAGAAUAUAGGAAGUAGAAACUACUGACGGUGAAACUACUCCUACAAUAGAUACUGAAGGCUACACAAAUGCCCCUGUUCAAACUACUUCAGAAGAGUCAGCUAUCCUAGAACCAAAGCCGACUAUCCCAGAUGACAAGGCUGGUAUUCCCAGAGAAAGGAGACAUAAUGCUAGCUAUCAAAACGACUUCAUCAUGGGAAAACCAAAUGAUUCGCUGCAAACCAG